Molecule: transfer RNA, 73 nt
Filed under: Bos taurus (domestic cattle)
Lineage: Eukaryota; Metazoa; Chordata; Mammalia; Artiodactyla; Bovidae
Also listed under: 3 other names
Rfam family: tRNA
About the family: Transfer RNA (tRNA) molecules are approximately 80 nucleotides in length. Their secondary structure includes four short double-helical elements and three loops (D, anti-codon, and T loops).
Source: Rfam by way of RNAcentral
UCUCUGGUGGUCCAGUGGUUAGAACGCUGUGCUUUCACUGCUGGGGGCCUGGGUUCAAUCCCGGGUUAGGGAA